Solanum tuberosum (potato) is the source of this 1505-nucleotide long non-coding RNA. RefSeq lists it as uncharacterized. The record is from RefSeq and is a predicted model, not a curated record. Lineage: Eukaryota; Viridiplantae; Streptophyta; Magnoliopsida; Solanales; Solanaceae. The transcript is spliced from 5 exons.
CAUCCAUGACUUGUCCCAACAGAAAAAGAGUUGCAAAUAUCAUUCCUUGUUACUCAAGCAUUUGUUGAGACGCUAUUUGAUCCUAUGGUGGAUAUAGUUAAAAGGGAAUUGGUUGGAGCAACAACCAUCAAAAGAGAAAGAGUUUAUGCUGGUCAACUUGUUGUUUUUGAUGAGGAUAUGAUUAAUGCAGCUGUAAGGGCUGGUGUUGGUGCUGAAAAAAGUGGUGGGAAGAAAAAUUGUUGGUGUUGGUGGUUCUGAAAGAAUGUUGACACCUUUUUCUGGGGCUGAAAAAAGUGUUGGGGCUACCUCUUGUAAUAAAUGUUUUGGCUUUCAAUGUGGUAAGUGGUAAGUGCUAGAGAAAAGAUUAUGAUGUUGUCAAGUGUCUUCAAACAUUGACCGAGGCUGUGAAAGAAUUGACAUCCAAGAGGAGUGUCAUUCCAUCAUGGAAGCUUCAGGAUCCAUAUACUCUACAUGUUAAGAGGAGAAGAAAAUUGUUUGUCAAGGCAAUAUAAAAUAUGGAAAAAAAAAGUUAUUGGAGAAUUGUCAAUGACCAUAAGAGAGAAGUCGGUGCUUAAGAAGUAAGUUCUUAGCCUCAUGCGGGAGAGGCAUAUCAGAUUCAAUGAGCACUAUGAUUUCACGGAUAGAAUCAUGGAUCUCAACUUCUAUGGUUACUUCAUAGACAAGUUCAAGAUAAUGAGCGAGGAAACAACAACAGCUGGUGGCAGAACCUUAAAGCAGUUACUUGCUGAGUUUGUAUGGCAAGAUGAUGCCGUUGACUAUGUUAGAGGGAAGAGACCAUAUCCUGGUGGCAUGGAUUGGAUAGGGGCAAAGAGGAUUCUUGCAGUCAUGAACUCAGGGAAAAAACAUUUUGACUCUUGAGAUCCUCUUGAACGAGGGAGUCAGUAAUGUUUAUGACUGCAACAUUGUUUUGAUGAAGAGAUACUACACAUAUGUGGGUCUUUCAUUCCAGCUAACACAGGAAAUGUUCAAUAGUUGGAAACGAAGGCAGAAGAGUCUCAAGCUUACAGCAUUACAGAAAAGAGGUUAGGCAACAAUAGGGCUGCUGAAUUGCUUGAGCCUGAUAACUUAGUACCUUACUGGGAAAAGCUGAAAUCUGAAAAUCAUAUUAAGAAAUCGAGAAGAUCUAAAAGCAAAGACAGCUGAAUGUGCUAAUUGUAUGCAUUGCAUCACGACAUUUUUUUGUAAGAACGGACCGGUAGAGAUGGCCAAUGUACACUGUUUUUUGUUGUUGUUACUGUUCAUGAUGGGCAAAGAUAAUACAGGAGGAAGAUGAAACUUUAAUUUGCAUAAUCUAUAUCAAUGUAAUCUUCUGAUUAAAUUUGUGCUGCUAAUAGCUUUUACGUACAUUUUUUAAUCCUAAAUUUUGCUCAACUAAAUGCUGAUAUGAAGAUUGGUUGAUUGUUUAUUUCUGCAGAUUUUUAUGCCACUCUUAAUUUGAAUUUGGCGCAGUGGGCUGCCUUUUCUACUCUUAUCAAGUUUUUUUU